RNAcentral lists this long non-coding RNA (669 nucleotides) under Mytilus galloprovincialis (Mediterranean mussel). The record is from RNAcentral. Lineage: Eukaryota; Metazoa; Mollusca; Bivalvia; Mytilida; Mytilidae.
CGUUAUUUCCCUAAUAGAGCAAGAAAGCAUAUGAGCUGAUGGUGUGAAUAUGUUGGCUCAAGCUGAGUUUCAAUUCAACGGUAAAUAAUUAGGAUGAGAAUAAACGUGUUAGUUUAUUCGUAUCACAGGGUCAUAUACAAACAUGUAUAAUAAUAAUUCCAUUGAAACGGAAUGAAAUAUCGCAAUAACUUGACAACAAAGUCACAUACCAUAGCUGAAAAUAAAAGAUUCAUGAGAUAAGAGAACUGUGUACUACAGUCAAUUAGUUGGUGAAUAAGUAUUAAAAGAAAAAUGGAAAUUGAUACACAUGACGUUUGGUGUGUCUGCCAAGAUAAGACGUUAUUGCAAUGUUUAGACAGGAACUUGUUGCACAGAAUAUAGCUAGUUCUAUAUAUUUUCUUUGUGAGCUACAUUUUGACGUCCGUAUGUUUAACACGUCCCUUCUGUCUAUGUCUAUCGGCAAACAUACAUAACUAGAAAUAGAUAUGGAUAUUCAAACGUGAAUCCGCAAAUCAGCCAUAUCAACCUAUCUUGGAAACGUUUAUCUUUACAAAUGUCAUAUUUGUACUUAAAAAGAAUAUUACAUAUUUAAUUGUGUAAUUAUAUGAACCUUAACAGUAUUCCUUUAUUUUACUGCUAUAUCAAACCAUGUGACUACAUGCACGCACC